Molecule: long non-coding RNA, 236 nt
Filed under: Musa acuminata (dwarf banana)
Lineage: Eukaryota; Viridiplantae; Streptophyta; Magnoliopsida; Zingiberales; Musaceae
Description: long non-coding RNA (MACU_LNC009576)
Source: RNAcentral
GCAGAAAUCAGGGUCCGAAUGGAUUGAUCUAUUCGGCCCAAUUUAGGUUUUUCAGGGGCCCAAUUGCCCCAAGAUUAAGUUAAUGGGAUCACCUCUCAUUUCCAACUUAAUCAUUGUGCUAACUACGAUAUUUCCUAAGACAUUUACUGUAACUUGCCCCGGUGCGUCAAUCGCUUCUUCCGGCGAGCUUCCGACGAACUUCCGUCGAUCAUCCGAUGAACCCUCAGUGAUGCUCC